This 468-nucleotide ribosomal RNA is filed under the name uncultured bacterium. RNAcentral's name for it is "partial 16S ribosomal RNA". It matches the Rfam family "Bacterial small subunit ribosomal RNA", at positions 28 to 507 of the family's 1533-position model. The record is from RNAcentral.
GACGAACGCUGGCGGCGUGCUUAACACGUGCAAGUCGAACGGAAAGGCCCUGCGUUUGUGGGUUGCUCGAGUGGCGAACGGGUGUGUAACACGUGAGUAACCUGCCCUUGAUUUUGGGAUAACUUCAGGAAACUGGGGCUAAUACCGGAUAGGAGCUCCUGCUGCAUGGUGGGGGUUGGAAAGUUUCGGCGGUUGGGGAUGGACUCGCGGCUUAUCAGCUUGUUGGUGGGGUAGUGGCUUACCAAGGCUUUGACGGGUAGCCGGCCUGAGAGGGUGACCGGCCCCAUUGGGACUGAGAUACGGCCCCGACUCCUACGGGAGGCAGCAGUGGGGAAUAUUGCACAAUGGGCGGAAGCCUACUGCAGCAACGCAGCGUGCGGGAUGACGGCCUUCGGGUUGUAAACCGCUUUCGCCUGUGACGAAGCGUGAGUGACGGUAAUGGGUAAAGAAGCACCGGCUAACUACGUG